GACGAACGCUGGCGGCGUGCCUAAUACAUGCAAGUCGAGCGAAGUUUUUCUGGUGCUUGCACCGGAAAAACUUAGCGGCGAACGGGUGAGUAACACGUAAAGAACCUGCCUCAUAGACUGGGACAACUAUUGGAAACGAUAGCUAAUACCGGAUAAUAGCAUUAACUGCAUGGUUGAUGUUUAAAAGUUGGUUUUGCUAACACUAUGAGAUGGCUUUGCGGUGCAUUAGCUAGUUGGUGGGGUAAAGGCCUACCAAGGCGACGAUGCAUAGCCGACCUGAGAGGGUGAUCGGCCACACUGGGACUGAGACACGGCCCAGACUCCUACGGGAGGCAGCAGUAGGGAAUCUUCCGCAAUGGGCGAAAGCCUGACGGGGCAACGCCGCGUGAGUGAAGAAGGAUUUCGGUUCGUAAAGCUCUGUUGUUAGGGAAGAAUGAUUGUGUAGUAACUAUACACAGUAGAGACGGUACCUAACCAGAAAGCCACGGCUAACUACGUG
This 499-nucleotide ribosomal RNA is filed under the name uncultured bacterium. Its description in RNAcentral is "partial 16S ribosomal RNA". It matches the Rfam family "Bacterial small subunit ribosomal RNA", at positions 28 to 507 of the family's 1533-position model. The record is from RNAcentral.